Molecule: long non-coding RNA, 179 nt
Organism: Pelobates fuscus (common spadefoot toad)
Lineage: Eukaryota; Metazoa; Chordata; Amphibia; Anura; Pelobatidae
Exons: 3
Source: RefSeq, a predicted model, not a curated record
GUAAGUAGUCAAACCGUUUAAGAACAGUUUGACAACUUACCUGGGAACUGCUGGGAUAUAGGGCAUAGGAGCAGUGGUAUGUGUGAAGGUGUGUGAGGGCAGCAGUGUAUGUCAGGGUUGCAGUGUGUGUGUUAGGCGUCAGUUGUGUGUAGGGCACUGUGUGUGUAUAGGUGUGCAGU